CCUACGGGUGACAGCAGUGAGGAAUAUUGGUCAAUGGGCGCGAGCCUGAACCAGCCAAGUCGCGUGAGGGAAGACGGUCCUAUGGAUUGUAAACCUCUUUUGUCGGGGAGCAAAAGACGCCACGCGUCGCGUUCCGAGAGUACCCGAAGAAAAAGCAUCGGCUAACUCCGUGCCAGCAGCCGCGGUAAUACGGAGGAUGCGGGCGUUCUCCGGAUUUAUUGGGUUUAAAGGGUGCGCAGGCGGAAGAUCAAGUCAGCGGGAAAAUUGAGAGGCUCAACCUCUUCGAGCCGUUGAAACUGGUUUUCUUGAGUGAGCGAGAAGUAUGCGGAAUGCGUGGUGUAGCGGUGAAAUGCAUAGAGAUCACGCAGAACUCCGAUUGCGAAGGCAGCAUACCGGCGCUCAACUGACGCUCAUGCACGAAAGUGUGGGUAUCGAACAGGAUUAGAUACCCCGGUAGUC
RNAcentral lists this ribosomal RNA (459 nucleotides) under uncultured bacterium. RNAcentral describes it as "partial 16S ribosomal RNA". It matches the Rfam family "Bacterial small subunit ribosomal RNA", at positions 338 to 795 of the family's 1533-position model. The record is from RNAcentral.